This is a long non-coding RNA of Lagenorhynchus albirostris (white-beaked dolphin), 373 nucleotides long. RefSeq lists it as uncharacterized. The transcript is spliced from 3 exons. The record is from RefSeq and is a predicted model, not a curated record. NCBI's taxonomy places the organism in Eukaryota, Metazoa, Chordata, Mammalia, Artiodactyla, Delphinidae.
AGCAGAGAGCCGCAGCCCGGCUUAACAUGUGCAGUGCAUUCUUACUGCGUCUUCCUGUGGUAUCACAGAGCUUAUGGAUGUGGAAUCCUUCAAACUCAGCUCCUGGAGCUGUAGAAAUAGCACAUGGAUUGAGACCAGAUGCCGUGCUCUCCAGAGAGCUGGUUUGGUAACAGGUUUCUGCUGUGUGAACAUUCAAUUCCCUGAUCCAGGAGCAUGGACCUCAGAGUGAACAGGCUAAAAAGGGAUGCUGUGGACACUUUCUCCAUCAUUCACCUCUCCUUCUAAAGCUCUAGCACUGAGCGGUCCCAGUUCUAAAGAGCAGUCCUGUGUACCCCCAUUUAUGGUUUUUUAAUGUUCAAUUAAUAUUACGGAA